RNAcentral lists this long non-coding RNA (589 nucleotides) under Oryza brachyantha (malo sina). RNAcentral describes it as "long non-coding RNA (OBRA_LNC000275)". Lineage: Eukaryota; Viridiplantae; Streptophyta; Magnoliopsida; Poales; Poaceae. The record is from RNAcentral.
UCAGAGGAUUGUUUCCAACUUGCCAUAGCCCAUAGGCGCUAGCUUAUCAGAUCCGGGUGAUCGGGAAAAUUUAACUUUUUACUACUCUUACGAGUUACGAGCAGUUAAAAUAGAUUUGUCAUUCAAUAUCUAUAACAGGUGGAUCCUCACGAGUCUAUGAUAUGUUGAUCCAGUGAUAAAUCUGUAAUGAACUAAUGAAUAUUUAUAAAAGUGGUAAAAAGUUAAAUGCCCCGGUGAAUCGGUGCAAGCAGUGAGACAUGGAGAUGUCGACCGGAAUCAUCUCUGUUUUGUGAAUUUGUACCUCCGUUCUGGAUUCAGUUCAAUAUGUGAGACUUGUAAUAUGAUGGGUAUGAACCGUGUGUUUACGGUUCCAGUUACCGUAGUAACCGGCCUCUCCGUGGAGGUGCAGUAUGGUAUGUAUUGUGGUUUUGAGUUUAAAUUUAAGAAUGAUUUAAAAUUUUUGAGGAAAUUUAAUAAAAAAUGGUAUAUGUUAUAUAGGUUGAUAUAUUGGUAUAGUUGUGUCAAACAAAUUCAUGAAAACAUGUAUUUUUAGCGUAAUUAAAAAUCAUAACUGAGAAGUUCAGCGAAA